Eucalyptus grandis is the source of this 455-nucleotide long non-coding RNA. RefSeq lists it as uncharacterized. The record is from RefSeq and is a predicted model, not a curated record. NCBI's taxonomy places the organism in Eukaryota, Viridiplantae, Streptophyta, Magnoliopsida, Myrtales, Myrtaceae. The transcript is spliced from 2 exons.
AUGAGAAAUUGGCGUGUAUUGUCGGACUUAUGUUGCUUUGUCAUGUAGGUUCUGGAUCGAGGUGAGAAAGUUGAGCUUUUGCUCGACAAGACGGAGAAUCUUCGAUCUCAGGCGCAAGAUUUCCGGCAGCAGGCAACCCAAAUCAGAAGGAGGAUGUGGCUGCAAAACAUGAAAAUAAAGCCGAUAGUUCUUGGCAUUGUCGUCGCUUUGAUUGUGAUCAUAGUCCUGUCCAUCAUUUGCGGUGCCUUCAGGUGUGGUGGCAAAUAAUGGAGUGAUUGUAGAUUUGAUAUUCUUUAAAACCUCUAUAAGUUUUUUCUUUCUAUACACACAAGUCCUCAUUUUUCCUGUAGGAUAAUGGAAUAAAUUGGUUGUAUAGCUCUGUAUGCUUGGAAGCGUUCUCUGAUCCACCUGCACAACAUUGUGACAUCAAUAGUACUGAUUCGAAUUAAACCUGA